Molecule: non-coding RNA, 2709 nt
Organism: Hydra vulgaris (swiftwater hydra)
Lineage: Eukaryota; Metazoa; Cnidaria; Hydrozoa; Anthoathecata; Hydridae
Source: RefSeq, a predicted model, not a curated record
GUGAUUCUGAUGAAGAUGAAGAUGUGAUAAACACAAAUGUAAUGGAAUCCAAAUUAAAUGAAAACAAAACUAUUGACAUAAAACAUACCAAUUUUUCAUCUCUAAAAUGUGCAUUUUGUGAUGUCUCCUUUACCCCAAAAAAAACUUGCAGCGACAUAUAAAAAAUAAGCACAAGUCAAUUGAUGAAGCUCAAGCAUAUCUUCAAUCAGGAAAUUCUUUGUGUCUCUAGUGUGGAUUUCAGUGCAGACAAAUUAAUGGUUUAAGAAAACAUUUAUCUGCAGUUCACCUUUAUACUUUUCAGAAAGAAAAAUUAUCAUUUGCUAAUGUUAAAGAAUUUGACAUGUGGAAAUCAGAUAUUGAAAGUAAUAAUGCAGCACAAUAUGUUUUAUCAUCUGGUGAAAAGUUCGAUAAAGAUGGUUGGAAAGUAUCAUACUAUCAAUGCAGAAGAAGUGGACUUUGUAGAUGCAUGGCAAAUAAAAGAAUAGUCAAAAGUAGUGGUACUCGAAAAAUUGCAAAAAAUUGCACAUCAACACUAAAAGUUUCCCAAUGCUCAGAAGGACAAGUUGUAGUUCAUGCUUGUUAUUCACGCUAUGGACAUAAAAAUGAAAUUCAACACAUUUCUCUAUCAAGUGUUCAAAGACAUGAAAUUGCUUGCAAACUAAAAAUGGGUAUAACUAAAAAUAGAAUCCUAGAUGAUAUUAGAGAUGAAAUAAGUUGUGUUCAAUCCAGAUUACAUUUAACUCAGCAGAAAGAUAUUACAAACCUAGAAAAAGCAUUCAAUAUUAAUUCUAUUCAACUUCAUGCCAAUGAUCAAAACAGUGUUGCAAUUUGGCUAAAAGAAUGGAAAAUGAAAUCAAAUAAUCCUGUUCUAUAUCAUAAACUACAGGGAGAGUCAGAUACAUCUAAUAUAUUUAAGGAUUCAGAUUUUAUCAUUAUACUGCAAACUGAACAUCAAAAGAAAAUGCUACACAGUUUGGAAAAAAUGGUGUUUGUAUUGAUUCUACACAUGGCACAAACGCAUAUGAUUUCCUUCUCACAUCAAUAUUAGUUGUUGAUGAAUUAGGCGAAGGGCAACCUGUGGGAUGGUGCAUAUCAAAUAGCGAUUCAGAUUUGUUAAAAUAUUUUUCCUCAAAUUAAAAGAACAUUCUGGAAGUUUUUUCCCAAUUUGGAUAAUGACUGAUUUGGUAUCCCAAUAUUAUGAAGCAUUUUGUGAAGUUUAUUUAUGUGCACCUCUAAAAUUCUGGUGUACUUGGCAUGUUGAUAAAGCUUGGAGAGAAGAGUUGCAUAAAAAAAUACAUAAUCUUGAAAUGGAAGCAGAUAUAUACAAACGUAUUAGAUUUGUUUUACAACUAAGUGAUCGGAAACUAUUUGAUGAUUAUUUACAAUCAUUAAUGGAUUACUUGCAAUCUUCAGAUUCAACAAAAUUAUUUGCUGAAUACUUCGAAAAAUAUUGGGUAAAUUAUAAACAAAUUUGGGCAUUUUGUUAUCGUAUGGGUCAUGGCAUAAAUACAAAUAUGUAUAUGGAAUCUUUCCAUAAGGUUUUUAAGUACAGUUACUUACAAGGUAAGCAUAAUAAAUGAAUUGACAAUUGCUUGUUUGCUUUGUUAAAGUUUAAUAAAGACAAAGUAUAUGAAAGAAUAUUAAAAUUAACAAGAGGGAAGAUAAGCUACAAACUAAAAAUGGUGCAUUCUAGGCACAUUGAAAGUCUACAACUGUGUGAAAAGUUUACCUUGGAUGAUAAAGGAGUAAGGUUAGUACAGUCAGAAUCAAAUGGUUACCAAUACAGAGUUUUAAAACACCAUGAAUUGUGUGAAAUAAAUGAGUGUCUUACAAUAUGUCCCGAAUGUAAAGUAUGUACUCCUUUAUAUAGUUGCGAUUGUAUGGAUUUUCUAACCAAAAAUAUCCCAUGUAAACAUAUUCAUUUAGUACAUCGUCUUAGCAAUCCUAAUGUGUCUGCAACAACUCAGCCUCUCGAUUUGCCAACAAAUUCAGUUGAAUUGGAAUUUAAAAUUAUAAAAGCUUGUGAACCUGGAGAUAUUAAUACUUUAAAAAACAACAUUAUUAAAAAUUUAAAAGAUCUCGUUAAUUUAGUUACUUUAAGUACAAUAUCCGAUGAGGAUGGUUUGCAGAGUUUACAGAAAAAUAUAUUGUUAGCUAAAAAUACUUUUUUAAGCCUAACAACAAAUAAGCAAAAUGAAUUACAUUUUAAAAAUGAUGCUCCAUCAAACAAAAGAAUAACUAAGCAGUCACCAUUUUAUUCAACAAAAAAAAGCGGAAAACAUCAAACAUUAGACUUGCAAAACCUUCGGCUGAUGAAAUAAAUAGUUUACUCGAUUUUUCUAACUGGACAAAAAAAAAACAGAAUCUCCAUUCGAGUCAUCAAGUAACUUUAAUGAAGGAAAACUUGACACAACAUCUAAUAGUGUUAUAAAAACAAACAUUUUACUGCCAGAUCAAAGAAAAAUAUUGAAAUUUUUUGGGUACAAAAAAUAGCAUGCAAGUCAUUUGUUAACUGAGAAUGAACUGCACAUAGAUGCUAAUCAUCCAUGCCCGGAAAUAAUUAACCAUGACAUUUCAAUUAUCCAAAAUCUAAUCAAUCCAAAAGUAUUUGACAAAAUUAAAAAAAAGGUGUUUUUAAUUAACCAAAGUUGGACUUGUACCAUUUGUAACAUACCUCAGUAUAAAGAUAUGAUUAAAUGUGAAAUUUGC